GAUGAACGCUGGCGGCGUGCCUAAUACAUGCAAGUCGAGCGAACGGACGAGAAGCUUGCUUCUCUGAUGUUAGCGGCGGACGGGUGAGUAACACGUGGAUAACCUACCUAUUAGACUGGGAUAACUUCGGGAAACCGGAGCUAAUACCGGAUAAUACUUUGAACCGCAUGGUUCAAAAGUGAAAGACGGUCUUGCUGUCACUUAUAGAUGGAUCCGCGCUGCAUUAGCUAGUUGGUAAGGUAACGGCUUACCAAGGCAACGAUGCAUAGCCGACCUGAGAGGGUGAUCGGCCACACUGGAACUGAGACACGGUCCGGACGCCUACGGGAGGCAGCAGUAGGGAAUCUUCCGCAAUGGGCGAAAGCCUGACGGAGCAACGCCGCGUGAGUGAUGAAGGUCUUCGGAUCGUAAAACUCUGUUAUUAGGGAAGAACAUAUGUGUAAGUAACUGUGCACAUCUUGACGGUACCUAAUCAGAAAGCCACGGCUAACUACGUG
This 497-nucleotide ribosomal RNA is filed under the name uncultured bacterium. RNAcentral's name for it is "partial 16S ribosomal RNA". It matches the Rfam family "Bacterial small subunit ribosomal RNA", at positions 28 to 507 of the family's 1533-position model. The record is from RNAcentral.